Molecule: ribosomal RNA, 428 nt
Filed under: uncultured Acidobacterium sp.
Lineage: Bacteria; Pseudomonadati; Acidobacteriota; Terriglobia; Terriglobales; Acidobacteriaceae
Description: bacterial SSU rRNA
Rfam family: Bacterial small subunit ribosomal RNA
Source: RNAcentral
AACGCGAAGAACCUUACCUGGGCUCGAACGGCUUCGGACAAACUGUGGAAACACGGUCUUCCCGCAAGGGACUGGAGUCGAGGUGCUGCAUGGCUGUCGUCAGCUCGUGUCGUGAGAUGUUGGGUUAAGUCCCGCAACGAGCGCAACCCUUGUCCUGUGUUGGCAUGCCGCAAGGCGCAACUCUCAGGAGACCGCCAGCGAUAAGCUGGAGGAAGGUGGGGAUGACGUCAAGUCAUCAUGGCCUUUAUGUCCAGGGCCACACACGUGCUACAAUGGGCGGUACAAAGCGCUGCCAACCCGCGAGGGGGAGCUAAUCGCCAAAAACCGUCCUCAGUUCGGAUUGCAGGCUGCAACUCGCCUGCAUGAAGCUGGAAUCGCUAGUAAUGCUAUAUCAGAACGAUAGCGUGAAUACGUUCCCGGGCCUUGUA